CUACGGGUUGCUCCAGUGAGGAAUAUUGGUCAAUGGGCGCGAGCCUGAACCAGCCAUCCCGCGUGCAGGAUGACGGCCCUAUGGGUUGUAAACUGCUUUUCUAUGCCAAGAAACCUGAUUACGUGUAAUCAGUUGCCGGUAGCAUAGGAAUAAGCAUCGGCUAACUCCGUGCCAGCAGCCGCGGUAAUACGGAGGAUGCAAGCGUUAUCCGGAUUCAUUGGGUUUAAAGGGUGCGCAGGUGGGCUUGGAAGUCAGUGGUGAAAUGCUGCCGCUUAACGGUAGAACUGCCAUUGAUACUGGUGGUCUUGAGUAUGGUUGAGGUAGGCGGAAUGUGUUGUGUAGCGGUGAAAUGCAUAGAUAUGACACAGAACGCCAAUUGCGAAGGCAGCUUACUAAGCCAUUACUGACGCUGAGGCACGAAAGCGUGGGGAGCGAACAGGAUUAGAUACCCCAGUAGUC
Molecule: ribosomal RNA, 459 nt
Filed under: uncultured bacterium
Lineage: Bacteria
Description: partial 16S ribosomal RNA
Rfam family: Bacterial small subunit ribosomal RNA
Source: RNAcentral